CGGGUGAGUAAUACUUGGGCAAUCUGCCCUUGAUGGGGGACAACCUGCCGAAAGGCGGGCUAAUACCCCAUAAGACCACGGGAAUGCAUAUUCCAGAGGUCAAAGCUCCGCAAGGGGCGCUUGAGGAGGAGCCCGAGUCCUAUCAUGGUAGUUGGCGGGGUAAUGGCCCACCAAGCCGUCGACGGGUAGCCGACCUGAAAGGGUAACCGGCCACACUGGCACUGAGACACGGGCCAG
This 237-nucleotide ribosomal RNA is filed under the name uncultured bacterium. RNAcentral describes it as "partial 16S ribosomal RNA". It matches the Rfam family "Bacterial small subunit ribosomal RNA", at positions 103 to 334 of the family's 1533-position model. The record is from RNAcentral.